RNAcentral lists this non-coding RNA (30 nucleotides) under Rattus norvegicus (Norway rat). Lineage: Eukaryota; Metazoa; Chordata; Mammalia; Rodentia; Muridae. The record is from RNAcentral.
UACUCACCAUAAAGCAUUUAGAGUUGGUCC